UCCAGACUCCUACGGGAGGCAGCAGUGGGGAAUAUUGCACAAUGGGCGCAAGCCUGAUGCAGCGACGCCGCGUGAGCGAAGAAGUAUUUCGGUAUGUAAAGCUCUAUCAGCAGGGAAGAAAAUGACGGUACCUGACUAAGAAGCUCCGGCUAAAUACGUGCCAGCAGCCGCGGUAAUACGUAUGGAGCAAGCGUUAUCCGGAUUUACUGGGUGUAAAGGGAGCGCAGGCGGCUUUGCAAGUCUGAUGUGAAAGGCCAGGGCUCAACCCUGGGACUGCAUUGGAAACUGUAAAGCUAGAGUACCGGAGAGGUAAGCGGAAUUCCUAGUGUAGCGGUGAAAUGCGUAGAUAUUAGGAGGAACACCAGUGGCGAAGGCGGCUUACUGGACGGCAACUGACGCUGAGGCUCGAAAGCGUGGGGAGCAAACAGGAUUAGAUACCCCAGUACUU
This 448-nucleotide ribosomal RNA is filed under the name uncultured bacterium. Its description in RNAcentral is "bacterial SSU rRNA". It matches the Rfam family "Bacterial small subunit ribosomal RNA", at positions 330 to 795 of the family's 1533-position model. The record is from RNAcentral.